GAUGAACGCUGGCGGCGUGCCUAAUACAUGCAAGUCGAGCGAACAGACGAGGAGCUUGCUCCUCUGACGUUAGCGGCGGACGGGUGAGUAACACGUGGAUAACCUACCUAUAAGACUGGGAUAACUUCGGGAAUCCGGAGCUAAUACCGGAUAAUAUAUUGAACCGCAUGGUUCAAUAGUGAAAGACGGUUUUGCUGUCACUUAUAGAUGGAUCCGCGCCGCAUUAGCUAGUUGGUAAGGUAACGGCUUACCAAGGCAACGAUGCGUAGCCGACCUGAGAGGGUGAUCGGCCACACUGGAACUGAGACACGGUCCAGACUCCUACGGGAGGCAGCAGUAGGGAAUCUUCCGCAAUGGGCGAAAGCCUGACGGAGCAACGCCGCGUGAGUGAUGAAGGUCUUCGGAUCGUAAAACUCUGUUAUUAGGGAAGGACAAAUGUGUAAGUAACUAUGCACGUCUUGACGGUACCUAAUCAGAAAGCCACGGCUAACUACGUG
This 497-nucleotide ribosomal RNA is filed under the name uncultured bacterium. RNAcentral's name for it is "partial 16S ribosomal RNA". It matches the Rfam family "Bacterial small subunit ribosomal RNA", at positions 28 to 507 of the family's 1533-position model. The record is from RNAcentral.